AUACGGAGGGUGCAAGCGUUGUUCGGAAUCACUGGGCGUAAAGGGCGCGCAGGCGGUUUGGUAAGUCAGAUGUGAAAGCCCACGGCUCAACCGUGGAAGUGCAUUUGAAACUGCCAGACUUGAGUACCAGAGGGGAAAGUGGAAUUCCCGGUGUAGAGGUGAAAUUCGUAGAUAUCGGGAGGAAUACCGGUGGCGAAGGCGACUUUCUGGCUGGAUACUGACGCUGAGGCGCGAAAGCGUGGGGAGCGAACAGGAUUAGAAACCCCGGUAGUCC
This 274-nucleotide ribosomal RNA is filed under the name uncultured bacterium. RNAcentral's name for it is "partial 16S ribosomal RNA". It matches the Rfam family "Bacterial small subunit ribosomal RNA", at positions 523 to 796 of the family's 1533-position model. The record is from RNAcentral.